This 405-nucleotide ribosomal RNA is filed under the name uncultured prokaryote. RNAcentral describes it as "bacterial SSU rRNA". It matches the Rfam family "Bacterial small subunit ribosomal RNA", at positions 355 to 774 of the family's 1533-position model. The record is from RNAcentral.
UGGGGAAUAUUGGGCAAUGGGCGCAAGCCUGACCCAGCAACGCCGCGUGAGGGAAGAAGGCCUUCGGGUUGUAAACCUCUGUCCUUGGGGACGAAAGAAAUGACGGUACCCAAGGAGGAAGCUCCGGCUAACUACGUGCCAGCAGCCGCGGUAAUACGUAGGGAGCGAGCGUUGUCCGGAAUUACUGGGCGUAAAGGGUGCGUAGGCGGCAUGGCAAGUCAGAUGUGAAAUCCCCGGGCUUAACUCGGGGGGUGCAUUUGAAACUGCUGUGCUUGAGUGCAGGAGAGGAAAGCGGAAUUCCUAGUGUAGCGGUGAAAUGCGUAGAUAUUAGGAGGAACACCAGUGGCGAAGGCGGCUUUCUGGACUGUAACUGACGCUGAGGCACGAAAGCGUGGGGAGCAAACA